GUGGGGAAUAUUGGGCAAUGGAGGCAACUCUGACCCAGCCAUGCCGCGUGGGUGACGAAGGUCUUCGGAUUGUAAAGCCCUUUCGGCGGAGACGAUGAUGACGGUAUCCGCAGAAGAAGCCCCGGCUAACUUCGUGCCAGCAGCCGCGGUAAUACGAAGGGGGCUAGCGUUGUUCGGAAUUACUGGGCGUAAAGGGCGUGUAGGCGGCCCGCUAAGUCAGGUGUGAAAGGCCUGGGCUCAACCCAGGAAAUGCGCCUGAGACUGACGGGCUUGAAUCCGGGAGAGGAUGGUGGAACUCCCAGUGUAGAGGUGAAAUUCGUAGAUAUUGGGAAGAACACCCGUGGCGAAGGCGGCCAUCUGGACCGGUAUUGACGCUAAGGCGCGACAGCGUGGGGAGCAAACAGGAUUAGAAACCCUUGUAGUCC
RNAcentral lists this ribosomal RNA (425 nucleotides) under uncultured bacterium. RNAcentral describes it as "bacterial SSU rRNA". It matches the Rfam family "Bacterial small subunit ribosomal RNA", at positions 354 to 796 of the family's 1533-position model. The record is from RNAcentral.